This 1596-nucleotide long non-coding RNA is filed under the name Lactuca sativa (garden lettuce). Its description in RNAcentral is "long non-coding RNA (LSAT_LNC002159)". The record is from RNAcentral. Lineage: Eukaryota; Viridiplantae; Streptophyta; Magnoliopsida; Asterales; Asteraceae.
CAAUCAUUGCCUGGGCUUUGUGCCUUUAUCGGCCGGAUAAAGUAAAGGCCUUGGUGAAUAUGAGUGUUGCUUUCCAGCCAAGAGAUCCUAAUACCAAACCUGUUGAAGCGUAUCGAGAGAUUUAUGGAAACGAUUACUAUGUCGUUAGAUUUCAGGUUCUCUAAUUUAUAAUUCUCUCAUCAUAAAUCAUAAAUAAAUACUAUCACUGCAUGCCACCAUGCACUAACAACCAUUAAUUAAUAAUUAACCACCACUCGCCAUUAUAUAUAUGUUCCAGGAAACUGGAGAAAUUGAAGGUGAAUUUGCGGUAUAUGGUACAGAGAGAGUAUUAAAUGCUUUCUUCAAUUAUCGAAAACCUGCCCCUCUUUUUCUACCCAAGGGUAAUGGUUUAGGAAUCUCACCUGAUGAUCCUAUAAUCGUGCCUUCAUGGAUGACCAAAGAAGAUCUUGAAUACUACACCGGAAAGUUUGAGAAAACUGGCUUCACUGGAGGUCUAAACUACUAUCGAGCUCUCGACUUGUAAGUCUGAUGAUGAUUUGAACUAUAUAUAUAUAGUAAAAAUGGAGGAUUGAGAAAUUAAAAAUUAAUAUUUUUGAUCUACAUAUAUAUAUGAAGGAACUGGGAAUUAACUGGCCCAUGGACUGAAGCCAAAGUGAGUGUACCUGUUAAGUUCAUCGUGGGUGACCUUGACCUGACUUACAACUCGGUUGGCGGAAAAGACUAUAUAGAAAGUGGAGAGUUCAAGAAAGAUGUUCCUCUUUUAGAAGAUGUAAUCAUACUGGAAGGUGUUGCUCAUUUUCUUCAUGAAGAAAAACCUGAGGAAAUUAACAAGCAUAUCCACCAAUUCUUUGAACAAUUCUCUAUCUAAAUACUACAACCGUUUAUAUAUAUGCUCAUUCAGCGAGAGAAUAUAUUUAAGAAGAUGCUCUGAAGAUAUUGCUACGUACAAAUGCAACAUAAGCUUGUGUAUUGCAGUAUAGAUACAAUAAUGCCUUCAAGAAACGCCUUGUCGUUGCUAUAUAUAUAGACUAGACUCUUGGCGACACAUAUUGUUCGUUACAGGGUUUGUCGAUAUUGCUAGUCCAAAUGAUUUGUAAUAAAGAUGAUCUUAAAAUAAAAAUGCAUCAACAAUCAAAUCAUUAGAUUGGUGGUUUGAACAAAUGGAUUAAAAUAUAUAAUAUUAAACCACACCGAUCAUCGAUCUCACGUUCAAACCAAACAAAACCCGGCCAGAAUUUAAUAAAACCCAAUAGUCAUAUAAAAGUGAUUAACAUAAUUGAAAGAAAAGAAAAUUAUAGGGAUACCAAAUUACCAAUUGCAAGAAGGAGGCCUCACAUCUACUCCAAAAGCUAUCAAGACAAUAUACACCUGACCUAAACAAAAAAUAAAACGGAUGAGUCAAGUAACAAACAAAACCUAAUCUAUAACAAACUGAUCCUGAUUUGUUUAUCACAAAAGCCGACUUUAGGAUUAUCUUCGGAUUUGGUAGAAAAUUUUGGCUCCGGUAUAAGCAGAUUUGGAUCGGAUAUGAUCCGUAUUUUCGUAUUAUCCGUUUUUUAUAUUUAUUUUUAAAAGUAUAUUUAGCUCCAACCAAAU